Molecule: long non-coding RNA, 985 nt
Organism: Anneissia japonica
Lineage: Eukaryota; Metazoa; Echinodermata; Crinoidea; Comatulida; Comatulidae
Exons: 3
Source: RefSeq, a predicted model, not a curated record
UGUAUUUAAGUAUCCAAUAAUAAUAGUAUUGUGAAUACAAAGCGCAUGCACAUUGUAGUAUCGUUUCUGACGCACUGAUGCUAUUAUUUAGUCGGCACCAAUCAUCGUGAAACACCGGUGAAUCUUCAACCAAAUACACUCUAAAAUUUUAGGUUAAUUUUCAAGAUGGCCGGCGGACCUGUAGAUGAAUCACAAUUUGCUCACUAUACCGGUUUAAAAAGAUUUUUGAAUGCUGAUACUGUAUUCGGCAAAAGAAAUUGUGUUUUGGCUACUUAUGCAGCAACCUUUGCAGUAGUAUGGUUCUUCCGUUCUCGAUCUCAACGUAAGAAGGCUGCCCUCGCUGCAGCCACCCCGGCUUCAUAAGGUGAUACAAUCCUGAGACUGUAGCAUGAAUAAUAGAAAGAGUGUUUGUUUAUUGACAAAAUAUAAUCGAUUAAACUUGGUGUCAUCUAGCAGUAUAUUUUAUUAUGCGGGUCUUCUCAACUGGGGAUCAAAAUCAACAAAGUAUACCAGGAAGCUCUCAUGAAUAAUACUCCACAUGAUUUUGGAAUGCAUAUAUUGAGGCAAAAUAAUUGUACUGCUGAUAUCAUCUGACUUUGUGGAAUUGCCGUACAUUUUCUGCCUGUAGCAACGGAUAGCAACAUCCUGUUCUGUGCAUCUUUCUUAUGGAAUAUUUACACAAACGAAAAUUAUCACCUAAUAAUUCAUAGACUUAAUCUACAAACUGGCAUAUUAUUAUAUAUAAAGAUGCAAUGUACUUCUAUAGAUAAUUUGAAAAUGAGGUGUUGUGUUUGAUUACAAGUUCAUCCAAGAUUCAAUGUUAUUCAUAAUUUCUCAAACUUUUCAAUAAUUUGAAUUUAUUCAAGAAUUUCAAUUAAGUAAUAGAAUGUAUACAUUACACAUAGGCCGAUUUCCUUUUAUUAUUGUUAGAUAAAUUAACUGAAGUGCGUUCACUUUAAUAAAUCAUAUGAUAUUGAAUGAAACA